UUUUUUUUGGUCAGGUAAGUUGGCAUUCAUGGGUCUCAGGGUAAGUUAGGACCUAGGCAUCUCUGGUAUGCGACGUUUUGCCAGCCCACAGCACCUUUAACAUAGGUCAUACUGAUGACUCAGAGGUUCAUGUUUAGUCAGGGGAAAAUCUUAUAAGAUCAGAGCCUAUUGGCAAACUAUGAGGCUGACAUAACCAUUCUAAAAGCCAAGGUUAAGUGCCAGGAAGUGUUAGCUUCUCAAAGCAAAGGCUCCACUGAAAAUUCUUGAAUUGAUCAACCUGUUAUGAAAUGAAGCAUUUAUUUAUUAAACAAAGCUCAUUUUCAUAUCAUCAUCAUCUUAUUAUCUCAUCGUAUCAUUCUAAUUCUGUUUGCUUGCUCUUACAGUUAACACAGCCAAGAUGCUAUCGGCCAAUUCCACCCAGCUUUGUGUUCCGGGUGGUUAUGGGUAUUUUCCUCAGAGCGCCUUCAUUUCUGGGAUUCUUUCUUUAACUGCUCUCAGAUCUACCCAUCUCUGUGUUGGUCUUUGGUUAUUUUGUCCAGAUGAAUGCUUUCGGAGAGGAUAGAUUCCCAGGUUCUACCAAACAAGAGGCAGCUGAAUUUUGGAGGAUUGUUUCACUUCCUCCAAGUGGGAAACUGAAUAUUCUGGAAAAUAUGGAAGAAGAUAAUGAUGUGAUGGGAAAGACCUGCUUUCCACAGAAGAGUGGGGCUACCAGGAGAAGAAGAGAAGAGGAAUAACAGGAAGGAAAGAGAAGGUUCUCCUCAGCCCAGCAGUGGAGAGCCAGUGCCCUCCUGCCCCAGGGAAACCACACAUGCAGGAGCUUCCCGAUCCAUAUAGCACCAUGAAGCGAACCUCCGACAUCCUGGGAGAAGAGUGUGUUCACUGCGGUCACAUCUUCCUGACAAGGGCUGCAUGAUGUCCUCUAACGGGGAAAGCCAUUUCUGCUCUUUGUGUCUCCUGGAAGAGUUACAGUUGUGAGGUGUGGGUUUGGUAGAGUUUAUAGGACCUUUGAGAUGGGUCAGCUUCUGGUUUGGGGGGACUUGAAACUUCUAACAAGCAAGAACUCCUGCACAGUGCUGUCUUUGCAGAUUUGAUGCCUAGCCGGGGUCUCAGAUACUUCUGAACCUUGGAAAUAGUUACCAGAAAUAGUGAGGCCAGUGGUAACCUUAGGUUUUAUGCUGGUUGCAUGUGACUCCAAAUUUGGUCAUUAUUGGCUUUUUUUCUUUUAUAGAAACAUACGUAUUUUCAGUCCAGAUUCUACACAAUCAAGCCUGCAUAUUUAUAUUAUCUACUUUAGGAUUAGGGGUUGAAAAAUUGAUCCAAUGAAUUUGCCUACAUGCUUCUGUUUCCAGGGCUAGAAGAGCGGCUGUAUAGAAUUAGAAAAUAUUGGUUCACUUAACAAAAAUGUGUAUGUGUGCCUAAGAGUCAUUGAUAAAGAAUAGUAUGGAGAUAAAAGUUCUCUUGACUACACU
This is a long non-coding RNA of Peromyscus leucopus (white-footed mouse), 1469 nucleotides long. RefSeq lists it as uncharacterized. Lineage: Eukaryota; Metazoa; Chordata; Mammalia; Rodentia; Cricetidae. The transcript has 3 exons. The record is from RefSeq and is a predicted model, not a curated record.